Molecule: non-coding RNA, 25 nt
Filed under: Mus musculus (house mouse)
Lineage: Eukaryota; Metazoa; Chordata; Mammalia; Rodentia; Muridae
Source: RNAcentral
UAGCAAGGGCAUCAAACUAUUGGAC